AUGGCUCAGUGAGGCCUUGGGAUUGGCCAGGGGAGAUGGGCAACCAUCACCCCAGGCCGAAAACUUGGUCAAACUUGGUCAUUUAGAGGAAGUAAAAGUCGUAACAAGGUUUCCGUAGGUGAACCUGCGGAAGGAUCAUUACCGAGUUAGGGUUCUCUCUCGAGGCCCGACCUCCCAACCCUGUGUCUAAUAAACCUGUUAUGUGUUGCUUCGGCGGACCGGCAGUCCCCUUCACGGGGGUCCGUCGCCGGGGGGGAAAACGGUCUCACAGGCCGCCCCUGGAGAGUGUCCGCCGAUGGCCCAACCAAAAAAACUCCCAAACCCAAACUGUCGUACCUAAAACUUCUGAAUCAGACCUUUUUUGAUGUACCAAUCAAAACACAAAACUUUCAACAACGGAUCUCUUGGUUCUGGCAUCGAUGAAGAACGCAGCGAAAUGCGAUAAGUAAUGCGAAUUGCAGAAUUUCCGUGAGUCAUCGAAUCUUUGAACGCACAUUGCGCCCUUUGGCAUUCCGAAGGGCAUGCCUGUUCGAGCGUCAUUAUCCUCUCUCAAACCUCGGGUUUGGUGUUGGACCGCGUUGGACCGGCCCACGGCCAACUGGUCUCAAAGACAAUGACGGCGUCCCAGGGACCCUCUUCGCACUGAGCUUUCCGGAGCACGCGUCGAGUUUUCACGGGCCCAGGGACCCGGUCACCCCUAAAAUUUUUUAAGGUUGACCUCGGAUCAGGUAGGAAUACCCGCUGAACUUAAGCAUAUCAAUAAGCGGAGGAAAAGAAACCAACAGGGAUUGCCUCAGUAACGGCGAGUGAAGCGGCAACAGCUCAAAUUUGAAAUCUGGCCUCACGGUCCGAGUUGUAAUUUGUAGAGGAUGUUUUGGGCACCGCUCCGGGUUAAAUUUCUUGGAACAGAAUGUCAAAGAGGGUGAGAGUCCCGUCUUGGCCCGCGGUAGGACCUAUGUAAAACUCCUUCGACGAGUCGACUUGUUUGGGAAUGCAGGUCAAAAUGGGUGGUAAAUUUCAUCUAAAGCUAAAUAUUGGCCAGAGACCGAUAGCGCACAAGUAGAGUGAUCGAAAGAUGAAAAGCACUUUGAAAAGAGAGUUAAACAGUAUGUGAAAUUGUUGAAAGGGAAGCGCUGGCAACCAGACUCGAGCGCGGUGUUCCCCCUUGCUUCUGCCUGGGUUAUUUCACCGUGACCGGGCCAUCAUCAGUUUUGGGGGUUGGUUAAAGAUUUGGGGAAUGUAUCCUCUCCUUCGGGGGAGGACUUAUAGCCCUGGAUGUCAUGCAGCCUCCCGGGACUGAGGAACGCGCUUCGGCGAGGAUGAUGGCGUAAUGGUUGUCAGCGACCCGUCUUGAAACACGGACCAAGGAGUCUAACAUCUAUGCGAGUGUUCGGGUGUCAAACCCUUGCGCGGAAUGAAAGUGAACGGAGGUAGGAAGGCUUGAGCCUGCACUAUCGACCGAUCCUGAUGUCUUCGGAUGGAUUUGAGUAAGAGCAUAGCUGUUGGGACCCGAAAGAUGGUGAACUAUGCGUGAAUAGGGUGAAGCCAGAGGAAACUCUGGUGGAGGCUCGCAGCGGUUCUGACGUGCAAAUCGAUCGUCAAAUUUGCGUAUAGGGGCGAAAGACUAAUCGAACCAUUGGUAAUCACUACUAGGUGGUUAAGAGUCGUGUGUGAAAAGCACCGGCUAGUCGCGAGUCCGCGGCAAGGUCGUCAAAUUGCGGGAACACCCUAAAGCCUGAGGUACCGCCGACCGUCCCGAAAGGGCGUGGAGGCACCACGGAGAGAUUUCGUGGGUACGGUAACAAUCCAAGGGAUGGUCCAAGGUUCAAAACCCUGGACCGCUGUAAUGGGCAAUCCGCAGCCAAGCCUGUUUCCCUCCCCUCCCCGGGGGAAAGGAGAUUGGGUGCAGUUCAUCGACUAGAUGUCGACCGGGUUCCAGGCCCAUCGCAGCCUGGAGCCUCAAGAUAUAGUCAGGCCCUCGGGGAGACCCGAGCGGAGGAACAAAGUAAAGCGGGUCGGACUCUUUUUUUUUUUUUCCACAAGAAGCCCGCUGUACCCGAAUUCCUCCUGGCCGGUCUUUGAGAGGCCGGUGAUCAA
Molecule: ribosomal RNA, 2097 nt
Filed under: Chaetothyriales sp. MP-2014
Lineage: Eukaryota; Fungi; Ascomycota; Eurotiomycetes; Chaetothyriales
Description: eukaryotic LSU rRNA
Rfam family: Eukaryotic large subunit ribosomal RNA (bases 715-2097)
Source: RNAcentral